This 381-nucleotide ribosomal RNA is filed under the name marine Metazoa environmental sample. RNAcentral's name for it is "SSU rRNA". It matches the Rfam family "Eukaryotic small subunit ribosomal RNA", at positions 587 to 972 of the family's 1831-position model. Lineage: Eukaryota; Metazoa. The record is from RNAcentral.
AGCUCCAAUAGCGUAUAUUAAAGUUGUUGCGGUUAAAAAGCUCGUAGUUGGAUUUCUGCCGAGGACGACCGGUCCGCCCUGUGGGUGAGCAUCUGGAUCGGCCUGGGCAUCUUCUUGGGGAACGUAGCUGCACUUGACUGUGUGGUGCGGUAUCCAGGACUUUUACCUUGAGGAAAUUAGAGUGUUUCAAGCAGGCGUCCGCCUUGAAUACAUUAGCAUGGAAUAAUAAGAUAGGACCUCGGUUCUAUUUUGUUGGUUUCUAGAGCUGAGGUAAUGAUUAAUAGGGAUAGUUGGGAGCAUUCGUAUUUAACUGUCAGAGGUGAAAUUCUCGGAUUUGUUAAAGACUAACUUAUGCGAAAGCAUUUGCCAAGGAUGUUUUCA